Molecule: ribosomal RNA, 460 nt
Filed under: uncultured bacterium
Lineage: Bacteria
Description: partial 16S ribosomal RNA
Rfam family: Bacterial small subunit ribosomal RNA
Source: RNAcentral
CCUACGGGAGGCAGCAGUGAGGAAUAUUGGUCAAUGGGCGCGAGCCUGAACCAGCCAAGUAGCGUGAAGGAUGACUGCCCUACGGGUUGUAAACUUCUUUUAUAAAGGAAUAAAGUGAGGCACGUGUGCCUUUUUGUAUGUACUUUAUGAAUAAGGAUCGGCUAACUCCGUGCCAGCAGCCGCGGUAAUACAGAGGCUCCGAGCGUUAUCCGGCUUUAUUGGGUUUAAAGGGAGCGUAGAUGGGUUGUUAAGUCAGUUGUGAAAGUUUGCGGCUCAACCGUAAAAUUGCAAUUGAUACUGGCAGUCUUGAGUACAGUUGAGGGAGGAGGAAUUCGUGGUGUAGCGGUGAAAUGCGUAGAUAUCACGAAGAACUCCGAUGGCGAAGGCAGCUUACUAAACUGCCACUGACAUUGAGGCUCGAAAGUGUGGGUAGCAAACAGGAGUAGAUACCCGUGUAGUC